RNAcentral lists this ribosomal RNA (253 nucleotides) under uncultured bacterium. RNAcentral describes it as "partial 16S ribosomal RNA". It matches the Rfam family "Bacterial small subunit ribosomal RNA", at positions 524 to 776 of the family's 1533-position model. The record is from RNAcentral.
UACGUAGGGGGCUAGCGUUGUCCGGAAUCAUUGGGCGUAAAGCGCGUGUAGGCGGCCCGAUAAGUCCGCUGUGAAAGUCCAGGGCUCAACCCUGGGAUGCCGGUGGAUACUGUCGGGCUCGAGUCCGGAAGAGGCGAGUGGAAUUCCUGGUGUAGCGGUGAAAUGCGCAGAUAUCAGGAGGAACACCGAUUGCGAAGGCAGCUCGCUGGGACGUCACUGACGCUGAGACGCGAAAGCGUGGGGAGCAAACAGG